RNAcentral lists this ribosomal RNA (492 nucleotides) under uncultured bacterium. RNAcentral describes it as "partial 16S ribosomal RNA". It matches the Rfam family "Bacterial small subunit ribosomal RNA", at positions 29 to 507 of the family's 1533-position model. The record is from RNAcentral.
AGUGAACGCUGGCGGUAGGCCUAACACAUGCAAGUCGAACGACAGCACAGUAAGAGCUUGCUCUUACGGGUGGCGAGUGGCGGAAGGGUGCGGAAUACAUCGGAAUCUACUUUUUCGUGGGUGAUAACGUAGGGAAACUUACGCUAAUACAGCAUACGACCUACGUGGGAGAGCAGGGGAUCUUCGGACCUUUCGCGAUGGUAUGAGCCGAUGUCGGAUUCGCUAGUUGGCGGGGUAGAGGCACACCAAGGCGACGAUGCGUAGCUGGUCUGACAGGAUGAUUCGACACACUGGAAGUGAGGAACGGCCGAGACACUGACGGUAGGACGCAGUGCAGAAUAUUGGACAAGGGGGGAAAGCCUGAUCUAGGAAUACCGGGGGGGGGAAGAAGGACUUAGGGUUGUAAAGUCCUGUUGUUGGGAAAGAAAAGCAGCAGGUUUACCCGCGGCGGUACUGACGGUACCCAAAGAAUAAGCACCGGCUAACUUCGUG